UAAACCUUCAAGCUAUUAAGUACAAUUUCAAAAUAUUCUUUAUUUAAUUAAUUUGAAAAGAUAAUGGCAAAAUUUUUCAAUAUAUUUUUCUUGAUUUUAAUUAUAACUUUGUCAUUUUCAAAUGGAUAUAAAAUCGAUGCUAAAGCUAGACAUGGAUGUGGAACUUUACAUACACCAUGUAAAAAUGAUUCAGAUUGCUGUCGUCCAACAUACAUUUGUUAUGAUAUCUGUAUUUUAGAUCCGAGUUUAAAUGAUUAAACACAAUACAAAUAUAAACUAGAAUGAAAAUUGUUAUCAUAAAGCAUGAAUAAAAAUAUUCAGAAAAGCUCAAAUUACCGUGAACUUUAAUCAUUAUUAUUAUUAUUGAUGCGGUUUCGAAGAAUAACAAAAUAAAUAUUAAAAUGUUUUUUAUUAAAAUUUAAAUUCUAAAUAAAUUUAUAUUAUCAAGACGAAAUUUUACAUGAGAAAUCAUGAAUUUUUAGUUUAAAAUU
Long non-coding RNA from Condylostylus longicornis, 491 nucleotides. RefSeq lists it as uncharacterized. Lineage: Eukaryota; Metazoa; Arthropoda; Insecta; Diptera; Dolichopodidae. The transcript is spliced from 3 exons. The record is from RefSeq and is a predicted model, not a curated record.